Molecule: ribosomal RNA, 253 nt
Filed under: uncultured bacterium
Lineage: Bacteria
Description: partial 16S ribosomal RNA
Rfam family: Bacterial small subunit ribosomal RNA
Source: RNAcentral
UACGUAGGGUGCAAGCGUUAAUCGGAAUUACUGGGCGUAAAGCGCGCGUAGGCGGCUUUGCAAGUCGGGUGUGAAAUCCCCAGGCUCAACCUGGGAACUGCAUUCGAGACUGCAUUGCUAGAGUAUGGGAGAGGGAAGUGGAAUUUCCGGUGUAGCGGUGAAAUGCGUAGAUAUCGGAAGGAACACCGGUGGCGAAGGCGGAUCUCUGGGCCGUAACUGACGCUGAGGAGCGAAAGCAUGGGGAGCGAACAGG